AAGACUAUACUUUUGGAGAUUAUUUCUAUAGCAUCCAACUAGAGGGAUGCACUCAAAAGUAAUUGGUUGAGUGAACCAUGAGGUGUCUUCUGGGCAUGAAGCUGGCAGGUGGUGUUACUACUUUGAGUAGCUGCCUUUUGCUAUUGAUGACUGUUCUGCUUCUUCAAUGCAAAGAAGAUGCAGUCUGAGUGGU
This is a small nucleolar RNA of Crotalus tigris (Tiger rattlesnake), 193 nucleotides long. RefSeq annotates it as small nucleolar RNA U3. The transcript has a single exon. The record is from RefSeq and is a predicted model, not a curated record. Lineage: Eukaryota; Metazoa; Chordata; Lepidosauria; Squamata; Viperidae.